ACGAACGCUGGCGGCAUGCCUAAUACAUGCAAGUCGAGCGAACAGAUGAAGUGCUUGCACUUCUGACGUUAGCGGCGAACGGGUGAGUAACACGUAAGGAAUCUACCUAUAAGCGGGGAUAACAUUCGGAAACGGGUGCUAAUACCGCAUAAUAUCUUCUUCCGCAUGGAAGAAGAUUGAAAGACGGCUCUGCUGUCACUUAUAGAUGACCUUGCGGUGCAUUAGUUAGUUGGUGGGGUAAUGGCCUACCAAGACGAUGAUGCAUAGCCGACCUGAGAGGGUGAUCGGCCACAUUGGGACUGAGACACGGCCCAAACUCCUACGGGAGGCAGCAGUAGGGAAUCUUCCGCAAUGGGCGAAAGCCUGACGGAGCAAUGCCGCGUGAGUGAAGAAGGCCUUCGGGUCGUAAAACUCUGUUAUAAGAGAAGAACAAAUUGUAGAGUAACUGCUACAGUCUUGACGGUAUCUUAUCAGAAAGCCACGGCUAACUACGUG
This 495-nucleotide ribosomal RNA is filed under the name uncultured bacterium. RNAcentral's name for it is "bacterial SSU rRNA". It matches the Rfam family "Bacterial small subunit ribosomal RNA", at positions 29 to 507 of the family's 1533-position model. The record is from RNAcentral.